Molecule: transfer RNA, 69 nt
Filed under: Anoplolepis gracilipes
Lineage: Eukaryota; Metazoa; Arthropoda; Insecta; Hymenoptera; Formicidae
Description: tRNA-Val
Source: RNAcentral
AAAAUUUUAGUUUAAAUAAAAAUUUUUCAUUUACAUUGAAAGGAUUAAUUAAAAAUUAUUAAAAUUUUA